RNAcentral lists this ribosomal RNA (253 nucleotides) under uncultured bacterium. RNAcentral's name for it is "partial 16S ribosomal RNA". It matches the Rfam family "Bacterial small subunit ribosomal RNA", at positions 524 to 776 of the family's 1533-position model. The record is from RNAcentral.
UACGUAGGGUGCGAGCGUUAAUCGGAAUUACUGGGCGUAAAGCGUGCGCAGGCGGUUUUGUAAGUCAGGUGUGAAAUCUCAGGGCUCAACCCUGAAACUGCACUUGAUACUGCGUGGCUCGGGUACUGGAGAGGAGACUGGAAUUUACGGUGUAGCAGUGAAAUGCGUAGAUAUCGUAAGGAAGACCAGUGGCGAAGGCGAGUCUCUGGACAGUUACCGACGCUGAGGCACGAAGGUCAGGGGAGCAAACGGG